CAAUAGCGUAUAUUAAAGUUGUUGCAGUUAGAACGCUCGUAGUCGGAUUUCGGGGCGGGUCGACCGGUCUGCCGAUGGGUACGCACUGGCCGACGCGUCCUUUUUGCCGGAGACCGUCCCUACUCUUAACUGAGCGGGGUCGGGAGACGGCACUUUUACUUUGAAAAAAUCAGAGUGUUUCAAGCAGGCAGCUCGCUCUUGCAUGGAUUAGCAUGGGAUAAUGAAAUAGGACUUUGGUGCUAUUUUGUUGGUUUCGAACACCGAAGUAAUGAUGAGAAGGGACAGUCAGGGGCACUCGUAUUCCGCCGAGAGAGGUGAAAUUCUCAGACCAGCGGAAGACGAACCACUGCGAAAGCAUUUGCCAGGGAUGUUUUCAUUGA
Molecule: ribosomal RNA, 380 nt
Filed under: uncultured eukaryote
Lineage: Eukaryota
Description: partial 18S ribosomal RNA
Rfam family: Eukaryotic small subunit ribosomal RNA
Source: RNAcentral